UACAGAGGUCUCAAGCGUUGUUCGGAUUCAUUGGGCGUAAAGGGUGCGUAGGCGGCGCGGUAAGUCGGGUGUGAAAUCUCGGGGCUUAACUCCGAAACUGCAUUCGAUACUGCCGUGCUUGAGGACUGGAGAGGAGACUGGAAUUCCUGGUGUAGCAGUGAAAUGCGUAGAUAUCAGGAGGAACGCCAAUGGCGAAGGCAAGUCUCUGGACAGUUCCUGACGCUCAUGCACGAAGGCCAGGGGAGCAAACGGG
RNAcentral lists this ribosomal RNA (253 nucleotides) under uncultured bacterium. RNAcentral's name for it is "partial 16S ribosomal RNA". It matches the Rfam family "Bacterial small subunit ribosomal RNA", at positions 524 to 776 of the family's 1533-position model. The record is from RNAcentral.